Molecule: unclassified non-coding RNA, 341 nt
Filed under: Hevea brasiliensis (rubber tree)
Lineage: Eukaryota; Viridiplantae; Streptophyta; Magnoliopsida; Malpighiales; Euphorbiaceae
Source: RNAcentral
CCCUGCGCAUCCCCACAGAAAAUGAGCUGACCAGUGUGAUCGUGGUCCAUAGAGGUAACCUUAGCAUCAAAUACUGAUUUAUGAAUAAUCCUGCCAGUGCUGAAAUUGAAUACAGUGAUUUCUUUGUUUUCAUUGCCAGCUGAAAGGAAGUUAUUAUUUACAGGAUGAAAACGAAUACAUAAUUGUGAAGAGACUCCAUAUAUUACUCGAAUGCAAAGGCCUUGUGACAACUCCCACACUCUAACAGUUUUAUCCAUGGAUGAGGAUGCAAUGUACUGAUUGUUGGAUGAGAAGUCAAAAUCUGUGACAUCUCUUGAAUGUCCCUUUAAUUGUUUGAGGAC